RNAcentral lists this long non-coding RNA (1043 nucleotides) under Citrus x clementina. RNAcentral describes it as "Citrus clementina (C. clementina) long non-coding RNA (CCLE_LNC004552)". Lineage: Eukaryota; Viridiplantae; Streptophyta; Magnoliopsida; Sapindales; Rutaceae. The record is from RNAcentral.
CAUAUAAAAGUAUAGCAAAAUGUUUAAAUUUUUUUUAAUAAAUGUAGAAGAGAUGGACGAAGAAAACAGCCACCAGUUCAGAAUUAACAAUCAAAGAUAUGAGGACUUGAUCGAAGAAAUGUGAAAAAUAAAAGGACACUGGGUUGGUUAGCGGGACCCUAAUUUAAUGGUAAAAAAUAAAAGGACACUGGGUUGCUAUCAAUUUCUACGGUGUGGUAGGUUCAUAGCAGGGGAAGUAAUUAUAUUAGCGGGACCCUAACAUUAAUAAAAGGACACUGGGUUGUUUAGCGGGACCCUAAUAUUAAUGGUAAAAAAUAAAAGGAAACUGAGUUGGUAUCAAUUUCUACGGUGUAGGUUCAUAGCCGGGGAAGUAAUUAUAUUAGCGGGACCCUAAUAUUAAUGGAGACCUAAUAUUAAUGAUAAAAAAUAAAAGGACACUGGGUUACAAUCAAUUUCUACAGAGUGGGUUCAUAGCCGGAGAAGUAAUUGGGCACAAAUAUCAUGGUGAACACGGAUGAGAAAUAACCAUUUUAUCCCCGCAACUUUAUGUUUAUGGCCUCUAAAAAUUUUCACCUCUUUCACUUCUGGACCCGCGCUUUCUGGCACAUGCACGAUACUUGGUUGCGACUUAUAGAGAGUUUUAGAAUUGCAACGACAUGGUGCUCUUUGAUAAUUCAAAAAUCCAAUAGAAUUUAUAGAGAAUUACAGAAUUGUGGUACGUGAUAAUUUGCUGAUGCAGUGAGGGGCCGAAAUUCUUGUACAUGUGAUUAAGUUAUAGAUGUAUAAUUAAGUAAUUAGCAAGCACUAAUUGGGGGUAUUUGUGUCCAUGAAAAUUUACAGUUGGUUGUUGACAUUAUACUGUGGGUGCGUAAGUGCAAUCACGAUCUGACCAUUCAAAUUAAAAAAUGGGGGUCCCACUAAUUAUAAAGUUUGUAAUUAUCACAUAUACAGAUAUGGUCGCAUAUGAAAAUCUUAUCAUAAAUUGAAUGGAUUCGAUGACUUAAUUGAAGUUAUGAACGGAUAUUUAAAUAAAAGAAAAUUUA